AUUGAACGCUGGCGGCAGGCCUAACACAUGCAAGUCGAGCGAUAGAGAGAAGCUUGCUUCUCUUGAGAGCGGCGGACGGGUGAGUAAUGCCUAGGAAUCUGCCUGGUAGUGGGGGAUAACGUUCGGAAACGGACGCUAAUACCGCAUACGUCCUACGGGAGAAAGCAGGGGACCUUCGGGCCUUGCGCUAUCAGAUGAGCCUAGGUCGGAUUAGCUAGUUGGUGGGGUAAUGGCUCACCAAGGCGACGAUCCGUAACUGGUCUGAGAGGAUGAUCAGUCACACUGGAACUGAGACACGGUCCAGACUCCUACGGGAGGCAGCAGUGGGGAAUAUUGGACAAUGGGCGAAAGCCUGAUCCAGCCAUGCCGCGUGUGUGAAGAAGGUCUUCGGAUUGUAAAGCACUUUAAGUUGGGAGGAAGGGCAGUAAAUUAAUACUUUGCUGUUUUGACGUUACCGACAGAAUAAGCACCGGCUAACUCUGUG
This 484-nucleotide ribosomal RNA is filed under the name uncultured bacterium. RNAcentral's name for it is "partial 16S ribosomal RNA". It matches the Rfam family "Bacterial small subunit ribosomal RNA", at positions 30 to 507 of the family's 1533-position model. The record is from RNAcentral.